UCCCUCUCCUCUCCCCUUCCUGCUAUCCUGUUUCCCACUCCUCUAUCUCCUUCCUUCUCGCCUCCUCAUCCCGCCUUCUCUCUGGUCCCCAGCGUUCCUCCGGCUUCCCCCUUCCCUCGGGAGCAAAGGGACUGUGAGGUGUAUGUCUGCUCUGAGGGAGGAGGGGCAGAAGCCACAGCUACCUGAGGGGUCCCCCCACCCACCCCUGCUGGGAGAAAGGACAGCAGUGGGAAGGGUCUCCUCUCUAGCUCCCUUCCCGCGGCCCCUCCCUGCCUCCACCCCUCCUGUCUGCUCCUUCUCCCAGAAUUAAGUUCCUGAGGCCUGACUUGACACCCCCGAAGCUGAGGGCUGCCACUGCCUGCCCGGAACUGCCCCGGGUGACCUGUUUCCAAGCCUGGCCCCUAGGACUCCUCUCUACCUUCAGACACCCAGGCUGCUGCCCUGGUCUCUCUCAUUCUGUCUCUUGCCACUGUUCUGUUUCUGUCUCUCAUCCAGUCAUUUCUGUCUCUGCUGGACAGUCCCUGAGUCAGUCUAGCUGUCAGUCAUGCUGUAUCUCUAGCCUCUGGGUCGGCCUCCCUCCCCGGUCACCUCCCCCUGUCCCCCACCCUGUAUCCUCUUCCUUCAGCUCUGGCUCCCAACUCCUGUCUCAUGAGCCCAGUCCCCCUUCAAGGACUGCACUGGCAGUGUGGGCUGGAGACAGGGCCUAGAGAAGUGGGGCUCCCCCUUGUGGGAGGGACUUUCUCCCACUCUCAACCCCGCCUGAGGCUGCUCUCCUUGUCAUCUCAUCCUGACCCUAGACACCUUAAGGCCACACCUCCAUGAAUCCCAACUCUGUAAUUUUAAGCCCUUUCUCUGGUAGCCCCGCCUCCUCCAAUACCUGGCUACAUGCCCAACCUGGGAGGACAGAGACCAGAUUUGGGAUUCCAAGCCCUCCCAGCAUCCCCUCUGCUGUGUUCCUCCCCAGUUCUCUACUCGGAGUUGACUGACCAGAGAUUUAUCAGCUUGGAGAGCUGGAGGUGUGGAUCCAUGGGGUAGCCUCAACGCAUCUUCCCCUCCGCCCCAGCUGCUCAUGGGCCACGUGGCCUGGCCCGGCCUCGGCACCCAGGGCCAGUGAACAGAGCCCUGGCUGGAGUCCAAACAUGUGGGGCCUGGUGAGGCUCCUGCUGGCCUGGCUGGGUGGCUGGGGAUGCAUGGGGCGUCUGGCAGCCCCAGCCCGGGCCUGGGCAGGGUCCCGGGGACACCCAGGGCCUGCUCUGCUGCGGACUCGAAGGAGCUGGGUCUGGAACCAGUUCUUUGUCAUUGAGGAAUAUGCUGGUCCAGAGCCUGUCCUCAUUGGCAAGCUGCACUCGGAUGUUGACCGGGGAGAGGGCCGCACCAAGUACCUGUUGACCGGGGAGGGGGCAGGCACCGUAUUUGUGAUUGAUGAGGCCACAGGCAAUAUUCACGUUACCAAGAGCCUUGACCGGGAGGAAAAGGCACAAUAUGUGCUACUGGCCCAAGCCGUGGACCGAGCCUCCAACCGGCCCCUGGAGCCCCCAUCAGAGUUCAUCAUCAAAGUGCAAGACAUCAACGACAAUCCACCCAUUUUUCCCCUUGGACCCUACCAUGCCACCGUGCCCGAGAUGUCCAAUGUCGGGACAUCAGUGAUCCAGGUGACUGCUCACGAUGCUGAUGACCCCAGCUAUGGGAACAGCGCCAAGCUGGUGUACACUGUUCUGGAUGGACUGCCUUUCUUCUCUGUGGACCCCCAGACUGGAGUGGUGCGUACAGCCAUCCCCAACAUGGACCGGGAGACACAGGAGGAGUUCUUGGUGGUGAUCCAGGCUAAGGACAUGGGCGGCCACAUGGGGGGGCUGUCAGGCAGCACUACGGUGACCGUCACACUCAGCGAUGUCAACGACAAUCCCCCCAAGUUCCCACAGAGCCUAUACCAGUUCUCCGUGGUGGAGACAGCUGGACCUGGCACGCUGGUGGGCCGGCUCCGGGCCCAGGACCCAGACCUGGGGGACAACGCCCUGAUGGCAUACAGCAUCCUGGAUGGGGAGGGGUCCGAGGCCUUCAGCAUCAGCACAGACUCCCAGGGUCGAGACGGGCUCCUCACUGUCCGCAAGCCCCUAGACUUCGAGAGCCGGCGCUCCUACGCCUUCCGUGUCGAGGCCACCAACACGCUCAUCGACCCAGCCUAUCUGCGGCGAGGGCCCUUCAAGGAUGUGGCCUCUGUGCGUGUGGUGGUGCAAGAUGCCCCAGAGCCACCUGCCUUCACCCAGGCUGCCUACCACCUGACCGUGCCCGAGAACAAGGCCCCAGGGACCCUGGUAGGCCAGAUCUCAGCGGCUGACCUGGACUCCCCUGCCAGCCCAAUCAGAUACUCCAUCCUCCCCCACUCGGAUCCGGAGCGUUGCUUCUCUAUCCAGCCCGAAGAAGGGACCAUCCACACAGCAGCACCCCUGGACCGCGAGGCUCGUGUCUGGCACAACCUCACUGUGCUGGCUACAGAGCUCGACAGCUCUGCACAGGCCUCGCGCGUGCAAGUGACCAUCCAGACCCUGGAUGAGAAUGACAAUGCUCCCCAGUUGGCUGAGCCCUACGAUACCUUUGUGUGUGACUCUGCAGCUCCUGGCCAGCUGAUUCAGGUCAUCCAGGCCCUGGACAGAGAUGAAGUUGGCAACAGUAGCCAUGUCUCCUUUCAAGGUCCUCUGGGCCCCGAUGCCAACUUUACUGUCCGGGACAACCGAGAUGGCUCCGCCAGCCUGCUGCUGCCCUCCCGCCCUGCUCCACCCCGCCAGGCCCCCUACUUGGUUCCCAUAGAACUGUGGGACUGGGGGCAGCCGGCACUGAGCAGCACUGCCACAGUGACUGUUAGUGUGUGCCGCUGCCAGCCUGACGGCUCUGUGGCAUCCUGCUGGCCUGAGGCUCACCUCUCAGCUGCUGGGCUCAGCACCGGCGCCCUGCUUGCCAUCAUCACCUGUGUGGGUGCCCUGCUUGCCCUGGUAGUGCUCUUCGUGGCCCUGCGGCGGCAGAAGCAGGAAGCAUUGAUGGUACUGGAGGAGGAGGACGUCCGAGAGAACAUCAUCACCUACGACGACGAGGGCGGCGGCGAGGAGGACACCGAGGCCUUCGACAUCACGGCCCUGCAGAACCCGGACGGGGCGGCCCCCCAGGCGCCCGGCCCUCCCGCGCGCCGAGACGUGCUGCCCCGGGCUCGGGUGUCGCGCCAGCCCAGACCCCCCGGCCCCGCCGACGUGGCGCAGCUCCUGGUGCUGCGGCUCCGCGAGGCGGACGAGGACCCCAGCGUACCCCCGUACGACUCGGUACAGGUGUACGGCUACGAGGGCCGGGGCUCCUCCUGCGGCUCCCUCAGCUCCCUGGGAUCCGGCAGCGAAGCCGGCGGCGUCCCCGGCCCCGCGGAGCCGCUGGACGACUGGGGUCCGCUCUUCCGCACCCUGGCGGAGCUGUAUGGGGCCAAAGAGCCCCCGGCCCCCUGAGCGCCCGCGCUGGCCCGGCCCACCGCGCGGGGGCAGCCGGCACAGGCCCUCUGAGUGAGCCCCACGGGGUCCAGGCGGGCGGCAGCAGCCCAGGGGCCUCAGGCCUCCUCCCUGUCCCUGUGUCCCUCCUUGCUUCCCCGGGGCACCCUCGCUCUCACCUCCCUCCUCCUGAGUCGGUCUGUGUGUCUCUCUCCAGGAAUCUUUGUCUCUAUCUGUGACACACUCCUCUGUCCGGGCCUGGGUUUCCUGGCCCUGGCCCUGGCCCUGCGUUCUCUCACUGUGAUUCCUCUCCUUCCUCCGUGGCUGUUUUGUCUCUGCAGUUCUGAAGUUCACACAUAGUCUCCCUGUGUCUCCCUUGCCCAUACACAUGCUCUGUGUCUGCCUUCUGCCCACAUCUCCUUUCCUUCUCUCUGGGUCCCUGUGACUGGCUUUUUGUUUUUUUUCUGUUGUCCAUCCCAAAAUCAAGAGAAACUUCCAGCCACUGCUGCCCACCCUCCUGCAGGGGAUGCUGUGCCCCAGACCUGCCUGCAUGGUUCCAUCCAUCACUCAUGGCCUCAGCCUCAUCCUGGCUUCACUGGCCUCCAGCUGAGAGAGGGAACCAGCCCGCCUCCCAGGGCAAGAGCUCCAGCCUCCCGUGUGGCCGCCUCCCUGGAGCUCUGCCCAGCUGUCACCUUACCCUGGGCAUCCCAGCCCUGGGCAUUGUCUUGUGUGCUUCCUGAGGGAGUAGGGAAAGGAAAGGGGAAGGCGGCUGGGGAAGGGGAAAGAGGGAGGAAGGGGAGGGGCCUCCAUCUCUAAUUUCAUAAUAAACAAACACUUUAUUUUGUAAAGCUG
Non-coding RNA from Macaca mulatta (Rhesus monkey), 4316 nucleotides. NCBI's taxonomy places the organism in Eukaryota, Metazoa, Chordata, Mammalia, Primates, Cercopithecidae. The record is from RefSeq and is a predicted model, not a curated record.